RNAcentral lists this ribosomal RNA (419 nucleotides) under uncultured bacterium. RNAcentral's name for it is "bacterial SSU rRNA". It matches the Rfam family "Bacterial small subunit ribosomal RNA", at positions 1061 to 1481 of the family's 1533-position model. The record is from RNAcentral.
CGUGUCGUGAGAUGUUGGGUUAAGUCCCGCAACGAGCGCAACCCUUAUUACUAGUUGCCAGCAUUUAGUUGGGCACUCUAGUGAGACUGCCGGUGACAAACCGGAGGAAGGUGGGGAUGACGUCAAAUCAUCAUGCCCCUUAUGACCUGGGCUACACACGUGCUACAAUGGCGUAUACAACGAGUUGCCAACCCGCGAGGGUGAGCUAAUCUCUUAAAGUACGUCUCAGUUCGGAUUGUAGGCUGCAACUCGCCUACAUGAAGUCGGAAUCGCUAGUAAUCGCGGAUCAGCACGCCGCGGUGAAUACGUUCCCGGGUCUUGUACACACCGCCCGUCACACCAUGAGAGUUUGUAACACCCAAAGCCGGUGGGGUAACCUUCGAGAGCCAGCCGUCUAAGGUGGGACAGAUGAUUAGGGU